RNAcentral lists this unclassified non-coding RNA (3824 nucleotides) under Pectinophora gossypiella (pink bollworm). Its description in RNAcentral is "putative glycerol kinase 5". Lineage: Eukaryota; Metazoa; Arthropoda; Insecta; Lepidoptera; Gelechiidae. The record is from RNAcentral.
CAGUCAGCCAGCCUUAUGUCAAAUUAAACACUGUAACUGUACUGUCAAAUGAAACACCGACUCGAGGAAACUACGAAAUUAUCACAAUUAAACAAUUCACUUAUUCCUGGCGCGGGUCCGUCGAAGUAUAACGACCCAUAUGUUAGUACUGACACCGUUGACAAAGAUAUGGAGGAAAACUACGUGCUGACCUUGGAUAUUGGCACUACUACUAUUCGGUCCUUUAUUUAUAAUUCUAGAGCAGAAAGUGUUGGAAAUGCUGUAGAUCAGGUUGUACUCCACUACCCCAGUCCGGGGUUUGUGGAAAUUGAUCCUGAUGAAUUAUGGAAUUCAAUAGUGGGUGUAGUACAAAAGUCUUUGAAAAAUGCAAACUUAUCAGCGGGACAGAUGACAGCUAUGGGCAUAUCCACACAGAGAAGUACCUUCAUAACAUGGUCUAGAGAAACUGGCAAACCAUUCCACCGAUUUAUCACAUGGAAAGACUUGAGGGCUGACAAACUUGUUAAACAGUGGAACCAUUCAUAUACCUGGAAGUUGAUAAGAGCCGGUGCCUAUGUCCUGUAUUUAAUGUCUGGAAGUAAACGAUUUCGAGCAGGCAGUGUACUAAAAUUCAUGAAUACUCAGACGACAUUGCGUUUAUGUUGGGCUCUACAAAACAUAGUAACUUUAAAAGAAGCAGCAAAAAGUAAUGAUGCCAUGUUUGGCACUCUUGAUACAUGGCUCCUAUACAGACUUACAGAUAAGAAAGUCCACAUGACGGACGUAUCGUCAGCAUCAGCGACGGGUUUCUUCGAUCCGUUCACGAUGCAGUGGGCGGGGUGGGCUAUGACGCUGUUCGGAAUUCAAAUGAGCUCGCUACCGACCGUCGUGGACACGGCGGGCCCGCACUUUACCACCACUUCGCCGAACAUAUGGGGACAUCCGAUACCGAUACUCAGUUGUAUGGCGGAUCAAACAGCGUCCAUGUGGGGGUCUUGUUGCUUCGAGAUAGGCGACGUGAAGCUGACCAUGGGGACGGGUACGUUCUUCAACAUAAACACGGGACCGACCCCCCACGCCAGCGUCUCUGGCUUGUACCCUGUGGUGGGCUGGAGACUAGGCAAGGAGCUCAUCUACUCGGCAGAAGGCGCGAACAACGACACCGCUUCUAUCAUCAAGUGGGCGCAGAAUUUAGGUCUCUUCGAGAAUCCUCAAGAGACGGCGGACAUAGCGAACUCAGUACCGGAUUCAGACGGUGUUUACUUCAUACCAGCUUUUAGCGGAUUAGGCCCACCAUACAACGACGGGUCCGCGGCGUCAGGGUUCGUGGGUAUGAAGCCGUCGACUACGAAGGCGCACCUCGUCCGCGCCGUGCUGGAGUCGCUCGCCUUCCGGACUGCGCAGCUCUACUCCUGCGUGCAGCACGAGACCAGCUACAGCUUCCAUAGUAUCAGGUUAGACGGUGGUGUAUCGAACAACGACUUCAUAGCUCAGCUGGUGGCGGACCUGACGGGGCUGCGAGUGGAGCGCCCAGUGCACGUCGAGAUGUCUUCCUUCGGCUGUGUGCUCAUAGUGGGGCUGCAGUUAGGUUUAUGGAAAUCAAAAGAAGAACUGAAAUCCCUGUUCAAAGUAGGUGGCGUGUUCCACCCGCGCCCGCAGGUAAAGAAAUCGUACGAAGUCAUAUUCGCGCGGUGGGAGGACGCGGUCAAACGCAUGUGCGGCUGGUAUAGCGAGCCCAAGUCAAGUCAAACUCCGAGCAACUCAGUAUCGGACUCGAGUAGUAACUCCGUCACGCCACAGAGUAGCUUCAAAGUCGCAAGCAACUCAAAGAGGAACGGCAGCUAUUCAAAGAUUAAAAACAAAUAGCGGUGGCUUUUCUGCCUGCUCGCAAUGCUCAUGGCGUGCCUCCCACUGUGUAGGUGACAUCUACUUUGCCACGGCUCUAGUAUUGUAAAAAUAUUGUCCUUAAGUUGGUUGAGGUAGUAUGGUGUAGGUCCAGCGAUGUCAUGCCAACGGGACUCGGUAACAGACAAAAAUAUCAUUAUAAAAAUAGUGUUAAGGGCUAAGAAGACGCUUAUUUAAAUUAUUAUGAAGUUUUUAUCGACGUUUAGAAGGUUACUUGUCAUAAAGUUCCUAGUAAAAAGGUGGCGGCAAAGACGUUAGGAUGUGUCUGUUGAUAUAGCGACAGGCGUUAUGAAGCGCAUCCGUUCUAGCAAUAAUUCCUUGGUUGUUAACGUUAUUUUGACUUUGCAACCGAAUAUUUUAAAACUAGUUGUACAAGAGAUUAUAUGAAAGCGUGACAUCCUGUUAUGGGUUACAUGUUAUUGUAAUGUAUGGGUUAUAUCGGUUAUAGUUUUAAGCGGACGGUGAGUAGAGUUGGAUUGUUUGUAUAUGUAUGUAACCUCCGUAGUUGUAAGUUGUUUGAGAUGAUUAUAGUAUUGUAAUGAAAUUCCCGAUGGUAUCAAGUAGUUAGUCAAGAUUUAUGAGCCUGUAAAACUAAUGCACAAAUAAUGAUAAGACUUAGUCUUAAUUUUAAUCAUGAUGAAUGAGAAUAUCUGAAAUUCUAUCGCAAUUGUAUUUAUUUUAAGUUUUACUUUUGUUAUUCAGAAUGUUUAAUUUUUGUCGUUAGCAAGCUCAAGUUUUGUAAGACUGUCAGUAAAAUAGCAAAAGACAAACUUGUGAUAUUACGGAUAUGUUUCAUAUGGCUUAGCCGAUGUCUGUUACUUUCAAUAAGGGACUUUCUAGGCUACGUUUCUGAAAAACAAUAUAGAUGGCGCUGUACAGUUUUUCCAUCGUUUGACCUUCUAAUGUCAUGGAUAACAGACAUAUGCAUCUUUUAUCUUUGUUUUUUUAGGUACCAAUUUUGACCCUUGUUAUUACAUCUUCCACUCAUUAUUAUUCUAAAGUCAAAUCUUCAGGGUAGGUAAGCGGACCCCGUGAAAAACGGGAUAAUGCUAGGGAGAUGAUGGUACACGCCUCGUGAAAGUUCGGAGCGGAAAGUGCGAUUUUCUCAAAAACCUAUAUACUCAGUUCUAUAGGAUGUAAAAUGUAACACCUCAAAAUUAGCAUGAUGACCAUACAAAGCAAUAUAGGUAGCAACAUAAUUCUAUACAUAAUCUGCUCCAAAUGUCAAGCAGCAAUUUACAUUGUAUUUUUGAACAAUUAUGAACCAGAACAAUGAGAAAAUACGUAAUUUUCACAUUAAAACUGUACAACGCCAUCUAUAUUGUUUUUGGGGAACGUAGCCCAGAAAGUGCCUCAUUGGAGUUCUCGUUAAUUUUUUUAUCAUUUUCAAAAUUUUAGUGUAACCAUUUAAUGAAUUUUAUUGCUAUUGUUACCAUUGUACAUAUUUUAUGAUUUUAUAUAAGUGGCCUCAGUAAUUUCUUUCUUAAAAUAUCAAAUAAAUAAAUAUCAAAUUGUAAUAAAAGUAAAUUAUUGACGGUAGAUGACAAUAUGAGUGUGUAAUGUGUAAUAAGUUCAGUGAUAGCGCGUCUUUACCCUUUGCUCAAUGUGACGUUAUAUUGUUUGUUUGUAGCUUAAACUUGCCAAUUUGUAGUUUUUGUAUGCGGUUAAUGUAAUAGAGAAAUAUGUCCUCAUAGACUGACAUGUGUACCGGUUGCGUCAAGCGUAUUUCGACUUUCUUGCCUAAGUUACACGAGCUAUUAAAACACAAGGUAGCUAAACCCUUUUCAAAUAAUUCAAUAUUAUGAAACACUAAUUAAAAGUACACUUUUGCUUUACACAGAUGUGGACCCUCUGCAAAUAGCUAAAUAUUUUUAUUUAUAUUGACAUGACAACAUUAUCAAUCCGUGUUUAAAAAGGAAUAAUAAAUUUAUAUGCUAAAG